Long non-coding RNA from Papilio polytes (common Mormon), 1120 nucleotides. RefSeq lists it as uncharacterized. The record is from RefSeq and is a predicted model, not a curated record. The transcript is spliced from 2 exons. Lineage: Eukaryota; Metazoa; Arthropoda; Insecta; Lepidoptera; Papilionidae.
UUAGAAACACACCACCAAACACAUCAAGUCUAGACUGUCCGUUCUAAUAGAUUCUAUUGCUUUCGGUGGCCGAGAAGUCGGUUUCGAUAAAAAAAACAACACAGCCAGUUAGGCUGUUACUGUAAGUCGAAGUAGUGUAGUUCUUUUAUUCAACUGAUAGUGUGGUAAAAGUGGUCGUGGAAAACUAUUAAAAUUACAAGCUAAUUUGGAUACACUAUGACGUAUGCAUUUAUAAUAGUGGUGUCAGUGGCCGUAACUUUAAAGUUAUUGUUUCUAAGUUUCUCAUUGUACGUAACACUCAAUGAUCCAGAACUAAAAAUGGAGAAAGAUCCGAAGAUCAAAACCGACAACACAACAUGCAUGGCGUCCAAGUGGAAACAAGUUUCGCAAGUUUUUUUUUGUAAAACGUCACGUAGCAAGAUGAAUAAAAAUGUUAAAUUGGGAUCAUGAUUACAACAAGUUUUGUAAUGCACUAAUUACAUUAUUUUUUUAACACCAAAAACCAGUUUAAAGCCUCAACGUAUAACUGUUAAUAUUUUAUUUUCAGAUGUAUAUUUAAUGCGGUUCGGGAUAACUUGACAAUUUAAAUGAUGUGAUAUCUAUUAAAAUAUAUGAUUUGUACAUAGAGUUAUAGAAGUGCUUUUGUUUUUCCUGGUAAAUAGGAACUUCCUCUUGCGUGUAGAUCAUUGCAAUCGUUAACAUGCAAUACUCGCAAACAAUCGACUUCGACUUUUAAGUCAACCGAAAUUUAUGUGUUACAUUAUACAAUUGUUAACGAAUUUUGGGAGGGUAUGGGAAAUGACUCCAUCAAAAUACGAAACUUUUACGAAACUACAUUAGGAAAACGACAUCUGUACAAUCCGGUGCUAUUUUUGCUAUAUCUCCACUGUUGUAUAGAUUAUGUAAACAAUCAACUUUUACGUUCUCUAAUUUUCUAUUGCAACUAAUUAGUUUGAAAAUAGAGAAGUGUAUGUAUGAAAAGAAAUUCUCUCGCUAACGUCGAUGUAUUUAUUUUCAUCUUCUAGUAAGAUUGUCUAUCGUCGCAGUCCAUAGUUUCCAUUAAUAUUGUAAAGAUUUUUUUUUAUUUCGAUGUAAUAAAACUAUUUUUAAAAAUAAAGUA